GCGCGCCUGGGCAUCGGAAGUGUCUCUCGAAUGUCUUCAGCGCAUGCUUUCAUGGCAGUAACCGUCUGUGGCUGUCUCUGAGUUCUGUCGAAGCAUUUAACAAACUGUUCUUUGGAAAAGAGUUCUUAAGAGUUGGAAGGGCCUUUGGCUCUCACCUCGCCCAGAUCCAGGAGAACCGAAAAGAAAAGGAAAAAAAUCACUGCUUUAGCCCGCGUGCUGGAGGUGGAGUAUCCAGGCGCGCCUGAGGCCGGUCAGACUUGUAAUGAGGCUGACAUUAGCGGACCACCUAUAGUGAGCCGGGCUAGUUGCAAUUCUCUCCGCAACCCUGUAGGGAAAAGGUGUUGCCCCAUUUCGCUGAUAUAGAAAUUGAGGCUUAGAAAGCGUGAUUAAGGUGACUGGUCCAAAGAUUUGGGACUUGCAAGUGUUCCGGAACCUGGUUCAUUCUGCCGGUCGCAUGGAAAGCCAGCCAAUCACCAAGACAAGGAGUUUGCAGCGAGAAAGCGUUCAUUCCCCAGGCAGCCAAGAGAGGAGAGGGGAAAACAAAUCUCAAAUCUGCCUCCGACAAAAUGGGGAUUCGGGCUGUUUAUGGGGUAGCGGUCAGGAUGGUCCAAUGGCUGCAUAGAUGACUGGAGGUGUCACAAGGUGGUGGCUGGUAUGCUGAGCGGAAUCUGUCAAAGACCCCAACCCUCUCCCAGGCUGGGUUAGGGGACCCUGGGGGUACUGGAAAUGCACUGGUCAGAAACUGCAGAUACUGGAAGAUUCACUGGGCUCCAGAAGAUGAGACACUUCUCAUAGAAAUAUUACUAUUUUUAAAAAGUCCCUUACUGAUCAAGAAAUUAAAGCACAGAGAGUCUCUAACAGCUUGCGCAAAGUCUCAGGGUUAGUUAGUGGCUGUCUGAUCUGGAAGCUCAGACUCUGAACCACAAUGUUCUCUCUGCUGGUUACUCUUAUGGUGAGCAGAGAACCAAGGACAUGGAUAUUGUGAAAAUAUACAGAGUUUCUGGUAAGUAAUACCUUUUUAAAAAAUAAAUCAGAAAACAAAUAUUGUAUCAAAAAAUCAAACACCAUAUUAUUUUAAUCCAAAUGAGUCUAAUCUAUGUUAAAUUGAAUUUAGAUAAAUGAAUUUGCUAUAAAUGGAAAAGGACCGCGGAUUAGAGAGGUACUGAUGGAAAACUUUCAGGAAAAUAUAUUUAAGGGUCUAAGACCAUCUGACGUUAAUAUUUGGAGAUUUUUAUUUUCUUAAAGUAAACAGAUGAAAUUAAUGAAUUGUAAUUAUUGGUUUUUUUAAACUGUAGUAAAAUACGCAUAAAGGAAAAUUUACCUUCUUAACUGUUUUAAGUGCACAGUUCAGGAGUGUUAAGUUGUGCGUUCAAUCUCCGAAAGUCUUUUCAUCUAGCAAAACUGAAACUCUGUACCCAUUAAAUCAUGGUUCCCCAGUCCUCCCCCCACUUCGUCACUGGCAACCACUAUCUUACUUUCUGUAUCUGUGAAUUUGACUACUCGAGGUACCUCAUAGGAGUCAAAUCACACAUGAUUUGUUUUUCUGUGAGUGGAUUAUUUCGCUUGCUGUAACGUCCUCAGGUUUCAUCCAUGUUGCAGUGUGUGUCAGUUUCCUUUUUAAAGCUGAGCAGCACAGCAUUAUACAUGUGCACCACGUUUUGUUUAUUCCUUCAGCUGUUGAUGGACAGUUGGGUUGCUUCCAGCUUUUGCUUUUGUGAAUAAUGUUAUAUACCCAGUACAUACCCAGUUGUCGAUUACUUUUAACCAAUUUCUCCAAAUAUUUGUGAGUCUCUUUCCAAGAAGAUAAGCUGUAUGUUGUAAGAAAUGAGGAGAAUAGAUAAUUUCUGCAAAUUUUCUGGGAAAAAACCUCUCUUGAUCUACAAAUUGUAUGAGCUAGCUUUCCAUUUUCUACUGGAAAAAUAAGACUAGAAAAUAAUUGUCCUUCAUUGAACCAAUUGAGUUAAGAGAGUUAUGAUAACUAUUCUCACAGGCCCAUAAUUUCUGCCCCAGAGUAAGUCAAAAGGCUAUGAGUACCUGCCCGCUUUGGAUGGGGAUGAUGUCCCACCAGGGUGAAGACAUUCAGCUGGAAAGCAUGGUGCUCCCUUGGUCAUCAAUUUUCAAUUAAAUAAGGAGCGCCAUCCAAACAACCGAAGAGUACCCCUUCAGGCAGAGAGCUGGAAGCAGUGUGGGCAAUAUCUGAAUUUUGCCUAGUAUAACUUUGUUUUGGAAUGAAGGGUCCACAAAAACCCUUUGAUCCAGUCGCUGACCUCUGAUGUCCUGCAAUUUCUAUCUCUUUUCAAUUAAAGGAGCUGAAGUUUGGUCUGAGAAGAGACAUACCUUCUUGUUUUGCAGGUCUUAGGACAAGGGAAGUUGAGGAAUCUUUUCUUUUUUCCUCCCCUCAAAAAGAGGAUCAAAGUCAGUACUAGUUCAUGUGGCACAUUUUUAUUUGAAUUAGAAAGGAUGACACAGCUGGGCAUAUGCAGCCCCAUGAGCACAUGGCUUAGCCAGCACCUGGCUUAGCAAACUGAGCUGGCUGGACCUUAGCCCCUACUUGUCCCUUUGCCCAGCAGUGCUUAGAUAAUGAAUAUUCUUACACAACUGUACUUGUUCCAAAACAUUCUCGUGGGCCCAAGUGCCAGGUACAUUGUGAGACUGAAUAAAUGUUCACAAUGCAAAGUGCUUGUUAUUUGGCUCAGCAAACAGCAAGAAACUAUUUGUAUAGGCAGACCCCGAAGAGUUGGAGACGGGAGCUGCCAUGUGGACUGGAGUGGUCAGGGAAGGCCUUAGGAAUGUGGAAAGAAUGUGGGUACGUGGGGAGUAGGGAAAGAUGCUCUAUUUUUAAAAGAUAUUUUAUCUACUUUUAUGAGUGAAAGUCCAGACUACAGGGCAAAUCGUGGGCUUUAAAUCAGUAGUAUGCACUAUUGUGGGAAAUACACCAUAGUAUGCACUAUUGAUCUUCUUUAAGAACUCCGUAGAAGAUAGACAGCUCUAAAGUUAUAUGUUUUUCAGAGAGUCCUACUGUAUAAUGUAUUCAAGGGAAUAAGGACUCAGCAGAAGGAUAUAUUUUUAAAGAGAAAUAGUAGAUAAGACAUGAGAUGAUCCAUGGGCUGUUUCACCUUUUCUCUCACUGAUGGGUAUUUAAAGGCAAUAAAUUCCUUCUUGACUCAAAUAAAGUAAUGGCAGAUACACCAAAGGCCACAAAUCUUGUUAAUGUAACUGGGGUUAAUUUGCUUAAUUGUGGAUUUCUAGGCAGUGAUUUCUUAAACUUUGUACUCAGCUUUAUUAGUUUUUAGAAGCCAGGAUCAAUUUCUCUGUUGCUGCUAUACCUUUUUGAAUUCAUAUUAAGAGCUAAUUGCAGAUCUCAAGCCCAUUUUAAAAAUAUUAAAUUGUUUUCUGGAUAAGUUUAUUCCUUUUUAUUGAAAUUUUCCACAGGAAAAUGUUUACUUUUUUGGAUCAAUUACAGAUAUUGAAAAUUGGAGUUCAUUCCUUUAUGUCUUCAAGAGGGGCUUAUUGAGCAGUUACCGUGUGCCAGGCCUGUCCUAGGCACCAGGGGGAUGGUGGUGAACCAGACAGAGAGAGUCUGCUUUCAUGGAGCUCACAUUCUAGUGGAGGGUGGAAAAAAAUAGUAGGCAGACAAAUAAAGCAAUUGCCAGGUAUUAAAUAUUGUGUAGAAAAUUCAUCAGGGUACUGAUUUUAAAAGGUUCUGGGAAGAGGUUUGUCAAGAAAGACUUCUCAAAGGAGGUCAGAUUUGAGUUGAAACUUGGAUAAUGAUAAGAAGCUAAAUACAGGAAUACCUGAGGGAAGAAUGUUCCAAGCAGAGGAAACAGCGGCCAAGGCCCUGAGGCAGGAAGAAGGUUGGUAAAUUUAAGAAACAGAAGAAAGAUUAAUGUGGCUUGAAUCUAGCAAGUGAUGGAGAGAAUGGGCAAAGCCAAGAAGGAAGAGAAGGAAAUGACCAGAUCAUUUAGGACCUUGUAGGUUAUGGAUUUUAUCCUAAGAUUAAAGAGAAGUCAUCAGAAAAUUUUAAGUAGGAAGAUGUCUUGAAAAGACCAGUCUGGCUGCAGUGUUGGAAAAUGGAUUUAGGAGAGAAAGAAUAGUUAGGGGGUCAAUGUAGUAGUGUAGAUAACAGAGGAAUUUGAAACAAGGUGGAACAGUGAAAUGGAGAAAAGUAGGUCGAUUCGGCAUGUGCUUUGGAGGGAGAGCCUAUAGGACCUUAGGAUGUUUGGAUGGAUAUAGAACAUGAAGGAAAGAGAGGGAUUAAGGAUAACCUCUAGGUGUUUGGCUUGAAAGAUGUGGUGAUACUAUUGAGAUAAAACUGGAGAGUAAGAGAGGAACAGUUGAGUGGGAAUGAAGAAUCCGUUUUAACAUAUUAAGUUUAAGAGGCAUAUUGGAAUAAAAUUAGGUAAUAAUUAUAUAAUAAUCUAAUACGAUGCAACUGUUAUAAAAAAUCCGUAUUAAACUUUCAAAUGUAGGUGUUAAGUCACAGUUAAGACAAUUAAAUUCAACCGCAGUUCUUGAGCACCCAAUUGAGCUUGGUACUAAGAGUGAUCAAAAUGAACAAGACAGUAUCUCCACCCUCAGCAACUUCCCAUCUACUGCAAGAUUCAGAUAAAUAGAUGAGACCAGAGAUUGGCCAACUGCAGCUCCUGGGCCAAUCCAGUGGCCCUGUUUUUGUACUGCCCUUGACCUAAGAAUGGCUUUUACAUUUUGAAGCAUUGUAGAAAGAAGGAAAUAAAGGAAGGAAGAAAGGAAGGACAACAGGAAGGACAACGUAAGAAAAAUAUGCAACAGAAAAUGAAUUGAAAUAAAUUCCACCACCACCGCCACCAAUAAUAACAACAACAAAACAGAGGACGAGAGCCUAUAUUGAGUAAUAUUGCGUUGAGUCAUUUCAACAUUUAAAUAAUAUGUGCUCCUCAUUGUGCUGGGAAUUAAAUAAAUAGAAGUCUCAAGGCUAAUUUUGUUCAUUGUGUUCAUACUAGUUUUAUAAUGUUUUCACUCCUGAGUACCUAGCAUUCCCACAGCAUUCUGUACUUCUGUUGCCAUAACACUUAUUGCAUUGUUUUAAAAUUUUGCAAUUACCUGGAAUUGCUCAUCGCCUCAUAAGCAAUGAGCGAGCAGGGCUGUGGCGCAUUCGCUUUGAGUCCUGAGUCCCUAGAACAGGGCUCAGCACACAGGAGAUGCCCAGUGUCUUUUUCUUAAAUAUAUAGUAAGAGUCAAGAUACGUUCUCUGAACGACAGGGAUGUUCAGUUUUGUUUUCACACAGAGGCGUGGGUUUCUUAGCCCUGGAGAUGGACUCUAAUUUUGCUGAUGGCGUUGACCCUAUAGAGAGAAAAAUGAUAAGACACCUUUGCUCUGAUUCCUGCACGGUUACUGGUCGUUCACUACAAGUCCCCAAACUCCUGAGCCCUUCGUCUUUAGUUUCCUUGCUCUGCACAAGGAUCAGGACCACGAGGCAAUUUUAUUCUAGGUUAAUAAUUGGUAAUAACAGCUCCAAUUAAAAAUAAAUAAGGUGAGAAGCACGAACCACCUUUUGGAAUGUGAUAUCUCAGCAGAAGGACACCCUGGACAGAAAACCACCCUCCUUCCCCAGAGAAGCAGCUGCCUCCUUGAGAGUGAACACAAAGGGAGUGUGAGGGUCGAGUGGACUCUGCAUUUGUAGCCAGGUUAGUUGCCCCUCAGUGAUCAAUGAGAUAUCGAAUAUUGGUGCCAGCUUGCUUUCACAGCUACUCUGGGGAAAUACACUGGUUUAAAGAAAAUACAAGUUAUCAAUUAUGCCAUCAACUACAGAUAACCAUUGUUAUCAUUUUUGUGUAUAUCCUUCCAGGUUUUUCUAUUUACUUUUUAAAUGGGAUUAUGCUGUAAUAUGUUUUAUAAUCGUUUUUCUUUUAAAAAUCUAGUACAAACAUUUCCAUAUAGCAUUAUGUAUUUUCCCAUAAAUUAUUUUUUAAUUGAUUUCUUCUCUGAUCUUUAUUUUUUCCUUUCUUCUACUUACUUUGUGCUUAUUCAUUCUUCUUUUUCUAGUUUCUCAGAUAAAGCUUAGGUGAUUGCUUUGAGACUUUUCUAAUAUAUGUGUAUAGUGCUAUAAAUUGAUCUCUAUUAAAUCUCAUCCUGCAAAUUUUGAUAUGUUGUGUUUUCAUUUUCAUUCUAGUAAAAAUACUUUCCAAUUUCCCUUUUGAUUUAUUUUUUGACCCAUGGGUUGCUUAGAAGUAUAUUAUUUGGUUUCCAAAUAUCUGGGAUUUUUUUCAGAGGCUUUUCCACUAUUCAUUUUUAAUUGUGGUCAGAGACGGUACUUUGUAUGACCUGAACCCUUUACAAUGUGCUGAGACUUGUUUUAUGGCUCAAAAUAUGGUCUGUCUGGUAAAUGUUUUACAUUCACUUAAAAAAAUGUAUAUUUUACAAUCAUUGCAUGAAGUAUCCUAUAAAUGAAUUCAAUUAGGUCAAUCUGUCUGACAGUACUGUUUAGGUCUUCUCUAACCUUACUGGUUUUCUAUUUAUUUGUUCUAUCACUUAUUGAGAGAAGGGUAUUGAAAUUUCUCACUAUUUUGCUGUAAAUUUUUCUGUUUAUACUGCAGUUCUAUCAGUUUUUACUUCUGUAUUUUGAAGCUCUGCUAUUAAAUGCAUAAAUAUUUAGGAAUAUUAUCUCUUCUUAAUCAGCAUUUUGACCCCUUUAUCAUUAUAAAAUGACCCUCUUUAUCUCUAGAUUUAUUGGUCUGAAAUACUUUGUCUUAUAACAAUAUAGGCACUCUGGCUUUCCUUUGAUUAGUGUUAGCAUGAUAUAUCUUUUUUCCAUCCUUUUACUUUUAACUUAUUUGUGUUUCUUUACUUAGAGUGAGUUUCUUGAAGUCUGCAUUUGGUCGGACAUAUUUAAUUAUUUAAUUCAAUAUGACAAUCUCUGCCUUUUAAUUGGAGUGAUUAGACCAUCUACAUUCAAUGUGAUUAUAAAUUGGGUACAAAUCGUCCAUCUUGCCAUUUUUUUCCUAUUUUUCCCAUCUGUUUUUCUUGUUGUUGUUCCCUUCUUCCUCUUUUUUCUGCGUUUUUGGGGUUAUGGUUACAUUUUAUCUCAUUUUCCAUUACAUUUUACCCCUUUUGCUCGAUUAUUAGCCAUGAUUAGCUGUAACUUUUUGUUGUGUAUUUUAGUGGUUGCUUUGGGCUUGAUAGCAUCUAUCUUUAACUUUUGUCACUGUCUACCUUCAAGUGGUAUUGUACCACUUCACAUGUGGUAUCAGAAUCUGAAAACCACAUACUUCCAUUUCUUUUCCUCUCUCCAACGUUUGUGCUAUUGUUGUUGUAUCUUUUACUUCUACUUAUGUUAUACACGCUACAGUGCCCUGUUAUUGUUAAUUAUCUUUUAAAGAGAUAUAAAUAAUAGGAAAAAUAGGCAUUAUAUUUACUCAUCGAGUUACCAUUUCCGGUGCUCUUAGUUCCUUUGCGUAGAUCCAGGUUUCCGUCUGGCAUCAUUUUCCUUCUGCCUCAAGGACUUUUAUAUUUCUUGUAGUGUAGGUCUACUAGUGAUAUAUUCUUUCAGCUUUUGUAUGUCUGAAAAAGUCUUUAUUUGACUUUAAUUUUUAAAUUUUAGAAUAAUUUGAGAUUUACAGAAAAGUUAUAAAAAUAAUAGAGAGCACUCUCAUAUGCUCCUCACACAGUUUCCCCUGAUGCCAAUACCAUGGUACUCCUGUCAAACUAAGAAACCAACAGUGACACAUUACUAUAGUCUAAACUGUAGAUUUUAUCCAAAGUUCACUUGUUUUUCCACUAAUAUUCUCUUCCUGUUCCAGGAUCCCAACUAGAAUCCCGCAUGGCAUUGGGCCAUCAUGUACUCUUGGUCUCAUCUGGUUUGUGACAGUUUCUCAGCCUUUCUUUGUUUUUCAUGACCUUAACAGUUUUGGGGAGUACUGGUCAGGUAUUUCACAGAAUGUUCCUCAAUUUGGUGUUGUCUGAUGUUUUUUUCAUGACCAGGGUCAUGGGUUUCUGGGAAGAAUACUACAGAGGUGAAUACCUUCUUAUCAUAUCAUAUCAGGGGUACGUUCUAUCCACAUGACUCCUCACUGGUGAUGUUAACCUCAUCACUUGGUUAAGGUGGUGUUUAAGGUAGUGUAAGGUAGGGUAAGGUAGUGUUAGGUAGCUUUCUGCACUGUAAAGUGACUAUUUUCCCCUUUGCCUACUCUGUUCUUUGGUGGCAACUCACUAAGUCCAGCUCAAGCUCAAGAAAGAGCAAGGAGGAAUAUCUACUUAAAUUGUUUGUAAUAGUAUUUUUUCUGUAAGGAAAAUUCACCUCUUCUCUCCCAUUUAAAAAUUUAUGUUAUCAUUUAUUUAUAUCAGCAUGGUAGACUGAAUGGUUGACUUCCAAAGAUAUCCAUGUCCUAACUCUGUAAAGAUAUUACCUUACAUGGAAAAAGGAAUUUUGUGCAUGUGACUAAGUUAGGGAACCUGAAAUGGGAGGUUAUCCUGGUUUAUCUGGAUGGGCCCAAUGAAAUCAUAGGGUCCUUAUAAGAGGGAGGUAGGAGGGUCAGAUUCAGAGAAAGAGCCAAAGGAAGCAGAGAUUGGAGUGAUUGGGGCAGCCUCGAGAAGCUGGAGAAGGCAAGGAUUCUCCUCUGGAUCCU
Equus caballus (horse) is the source of this 8601-nucleotide non-coding RNA. The record is from RefSeq and is a predicted model, not a curated record. NCBI's taxonomy places the organism in Eukaryota, Metazoa, Chordata, Mammalia, Perissodactyla, Equidae.